RNAcentral lists this long non-coding RNA (556 nucleotides) under Pavo cristatus (Indian peafowl). RNAcentral describes it as "lncRNA (ENSPSTG00000009399.1)". The record is from RNAcentral. Lineage: Eukaryota; Metazoa; Chordata; Aves; Galliformes; Phasianidae.
AAGAAAGGCAGUUCAGAUUUGGCUCUUGAUGAUGUUUCUCUGCAGUCUUUUUUGCUGCACUCUUUCAGAUCAAUAAGCAACCUGUAUAGCAUCUUCAGCUGGUCUCCUUUACUUACACACCUGGAGUGCUGCUGUUGCAGGCAACAUUCUUGCUGUCUUCACUAUGUGUGUGUGGCCACACCUGGCUGGAUGCUUUGUUGGCUGUCUGCAUCCUGGAAAAGCCAUGAGUACAGCCAUGUUCACCUAUGUUCUUGAAUUAUUCUUCUGUGUAUGGUGUACAGCUUAUAAAUUUGUACCUGGAGGAAUUUACGCUAGAGAAAGCUCCCAUCUUCUUUUAGGUGCAAGUGCUAUUUCUUGCUUUCUCCUCCUGUCCAAUAUCCUGCCUUUCUCUUGCCGCAUUUCGGGUAGGGAACAGCACUGGGGAAAGUGACAAUGAAAGUAAGAUCAUUAUAUUCAAAACUUCUGUGCUACUUCACUGUGAGGUAACCUAAUGCUGGGGGGUCAAAUCUCUGGUUGCCCAUUGAGUUUAAUGGCUUUGAAGUACACUCCCUUUGAG